AGGAUUUGAUUCAGAGGAAUGAAGACUAAAAUGAGGGGGCAGGACUGGCAUCCUGGAUUCGCCUUUCUAGACCUCAUGCUUGAGCAUGGGGUUGUUUAGCACAGGGACCCGUUUGGCUCUCAGGCUCCAGAAAACUUUUUAACCCAUCGAACCCACUGUGUUUUAUUUUUGUCAAGACCACAUUUAUUUGGGCACCAGCUCACUGUUUCACAUUAUGUGGGGACACUGAGGACUUACCGGUCACCUCUCUCACAAUAGCUUGAUCUCUGUAAUCUUUAAAAAGGUGUUGAGUAGUAAGUAGCUCAGGAUGAAUGAGAACCAUGCCAGUGGAUCUUUAGAAUAUUCCAUUUGUGCAAAGGGACCAAGAUUCCCCCUGUGAAAGCAAGAGUAUUAAUGGCCCAAGAUGUUUGUUCAGACUAUACAGGGAAGUGGGACUUAGUGGGGAGCAUCUUCAGUCCACCAAGGACAGUGUCCUGUCUCUGGUGGGGUUCUCCCGAAGCAGACCAAAGAUAUUGAUGGCUAUGUAGGUGAUGCAUUAUGAGAGUGGGAAGAUGAGACGGGCAAGGGAAGGAGGCCAAGCAAGGAUGUGAUCUUGAGUUGAGUUCCAUGUUGGGAGACUUUGGCUUCAUCUUGCAGGGAGCUCUAGAGGCCAUGUCAUAACAUCCCAGAAUUCUCCCCGUCAGGGUUAAGAAAGCUGGAGUAUUUAUAUCCCCGUGCUGUCAAUCAUUGACCAAGGACUGCUGCUCUGGAGGGACCCUCUGGUUCUCUCUGCCUACUGACAAAGCAGGUUCUGUCAGCUUGAUGGCAGCCAUUGGACAAAGAGUGCAGGUGGUGACUGUUAGAAAUGAAAGUGGGUAAGGGUCAGGGAGCAUCAUCCUCUACUGCUUCUCCCAAAUGGGCCCCAUGAAGGAACUCUAUAACAGACAACUCUAUAAUAGACAACUCUGUAAUAGAACUCUAUAAUAGAACUCCAUUGUACAUGGUGACCCUGUGGCGAGAUGUGAUAUCAGCAAUUUGGGCUCUAUACAAGAAUAUAUAUGAAGUAUGGGAAUUUCCCCU
Molecule: long non-coding RNA, 1059 nt
Filed under: Marmota monax (woodchuck)
Lineage: Eukaryota; Metazoa; Chordata; Mammalia; Rodentia; Sciuridae
Source: RNAcentral